This 207-nucleotide ribosomal RNA is filed under the name uncultured bacterium. Its description in RNAcentral is "partial 16S ribosomal RNA". It matches the Rfam family "Bacterial small subunit ribosomal RNA", at positions 568 to 774 of the family's 1533-position model. The record is from RNAcentral.
CGUGUAGGCGGUUUUGUAAGCCUGGUGUUAAAGGCUCUGGCUUAACCAGAGUUGAGCGCUGGGAACUGCGAGACUUGAGUUUUGGAGGGGGAGCUGGAAUUCCAGGUGUAGGGGUGAAAUCUGUAGAUAUCUGGAAGAACACCGGUGGCGAAGGCGAGCUCCUGGCCAUGGACUGACGCUGAGGCGCGAAAGCGUGGGGAGCGAACA